UGAAUCUUCCUUGACUAGAAUUUUCUUGCCU
RNAcentral lists this non-coding RNA (31 nucleotides) under Rattus norvegicus (Norway rat). Lineage: Eukaryota; Metazoa; Chordata; Mammalia; Rodentia; Muridae. The record is from RNAcentral.